RNAcentral lists this transfer-messenger RNA (366 nucleotides) under Philodulcilactobacillus myokonensis. It matches the Rfam family "transfer-messenger RNA". Rfam says of the family: Bacterial tmRNA, also known as 10Sa RNA or SsrA, is named for its dual tRNA and mRNA-like properties. Lineage: Bacteria; Bacillati; Bacillota; Bacilli; Lactobacillales; Lactobacillaceae. The record is from RNAcentral.
GGGGUCGUUAAGGAUUCGACUGGUAUAGUUCGAGCCUGAAUUGCGUUCCGUAGCAACGCUACGUAAAAAACGAUUCAGUUUUUAACUGCAAAUAAUAAUAAUUCUUACGCUGUAGCUGCUUAAAUAAAGUUAGCUCUGCGUGAUCCGCUCAGCUUGGCCUAGAAGCUGGAUACGGGUUUUAUAUAUUAUAGGAUACGCUAGUCACUCCGACCUGAAGUAACUAGAAGAGAUCAAUCAGGAUAGUCAGCCAAUGAAAACCUUGAGAUGCGGUGUUUUUGGUUGGCGAAUUUCUAAAUAGUAUCGCUAUGAGCGUAGAGACUCGGGUGGCGAUAUGCUAGGACGCGGGUUCGACUCCCGCCGACUCCA